Molecule: transfer RNA, 45 nt
Filed under: Melothria sphaerocarpa
Lineage: Eukaryota; Viridiplantae; Streptophyta; Magnoliopsida; Cucurbitales; Cucurbitaceae
Description: partial tRNA-His
Source: RNAcentral
GGGGGCGGAUGUAGCCAAGUGGAUCAAGGCAGUGGAUUGUGAAUC